RNAcentral lists this ribosomal RNA (450 nucleotides) under uncultured bacterium. RNAcentral's name for it is "partial 16S ribosomal RNA". It matches the Rfam family "Bacterial small subunit ribosomal RNA", at positions 354 to 796 of the family's 1533-position model. The record is from RNAcentral.
GUGGGGAAUCUUCCGCAAUGGACGAAAGUCUGACGGAGCGACGCCGCGUGAGUGAAGAAGGCCUUCGGGUCGUAAAGCUCUGUCAUCAGGGACGAACGGCCGGUGGAGUGGAAAGCCACCGGAUUGACGGUACCUGAGAAGGAAGCCACGGCUAACUACGUGCCAGCAGCCGCGGUAAUACGUAGGUGGCAAGCGUUGUCCGGAAUUAUUGGGCGUAAAGCGCGCGCAGGUGGGAUCUUAAGUCCAUUUUUAAAGUUCGGAGCUCAACUCCGUGAUGGGAUGGAAACUGGGAUUCUUGAGUACCGGAGAGGAAAGCGGAAUUCCCCGUGUAGCGGUGAAAUGCGUAGAUAUCGGGAGGAACACCAGUGGCGAAGGCGACUUCCUGGCACAAUACUGACGCUCAUGUGCGAAAGCUAGGGUAGCGAACGGGAUUAGAUACCCCAGUAGUCC